RNAcentral lists this ribosomal RNA (431 nucleotides) under uncultured bacterium. RNAcentral describes it as "bacterial SSU rRNA". It matches the Rfam family "Bacterial small subunit ribosomal RNA", at positions 355 to 796 of the family's 1533-position model. The record is from RNAcentral.
UGGGGAAUCUUGCGCAAUGGGCGAAAGCCUGACGCAGCGACGCCGCGUGGGGGAAGAAGGCCCUCGGGUUGUAAACCCCUUUCGGCAGGGAAGAAGCCGCAAGGUGACGGUACCUGCAGAAGAAGCCCCGGCCAACUACGUGCCAGCAGCCGCGGUAAGACGUAGGGGGCGAGCGUUGUCCGGAUUUAUUGGGCGUAAAGCGCGCGUAGGCGGCUGCUCAAGUCGGAUGUGAAAAUCCGGGGCUCAACCCCGGACCUGCAUUCGAUACUGGGUAGCUAGAGGCAGGCAGGGGAGAUCGGAAUUCCUGGUGUAGCGGUGAAAUGCGCAGAUAUCAGGAGGAACACCGGUGGCGAAGGCGGAUCUCUGGGCCUGUCCUGACGCUCAGGCGCGAAAGCUAGGGGAGCAAACAGGAUUAGAUACCCCCGUAGUCC